AUGGCGACUUCCAUGGUGACGGACUUCGGCGACGGCCACUGCAUCGUGGCGUUCGACCAGGACCACGUCCACACCACCCUGACCUCCUCCGGCGGCGUCGUCGACGAGUGGCUGGACCUCAUCUACCGCAUCCACCGCCGCCGCCUCGAGCGCCUCGUCGUCGGCCUCGACGUCGAGUGGCGCCCCUCGUUCCGCGGCCUCCCGCCGGGCCCCGUCGCGCUGCUGCAGCUGUGCGUCGGCCGCCGCUGCCUCGUCUUCCAGAUCCUCCGCGCCGACUACGUCCCGGACUCCCUCUUCGACUUCCUCGCCGACGGCCGCUUCACCUUCGUCGGCGUCGGGGUCUACGGCGACGCGCAGAAGCUCAGCGCUCACUACGGGCUGGCGGUGACGAACACGGUGGACCUGCGCUACCUCGCCGCGAACACGCUGGGGAAGCCGGCGCUGCGGCACACCGGGCUGCAGGGCCUCGUGUGGCAGGUGAUGGGCGUGUGGCCCGAGAAGCCGCACCACGUGCGGGUCAGCGCCUGGGACGCGCCGCGGCUGACGCGGGAUCAACUGCAGUAUGCUUGCGCCGACGCCUUUGCAUCGUUCGAGGUUGGCCGGAGGCUGUACGACGGCGACUAUUAG
Molecule: ribosomal RNA, 627 nt
Filed under: Triticum aestivum (bread wheat)
Lineage: Eukaryota; Viridiplantae; Streptophyta; Magnoliopsida; Poales; Poaceae
Description: partial small subunit ribosomal RNA
Source: RNAcentral